This 587-nucleotide long non-coding RNA is filed under the name Equus caballus (horse). RNAcentral describes it as "lncRNA (ENSECAG00000055963.1)". The record is from RNAcentral. Lineage: Eukaryota; Metazoa; Chordata; Mammalia; Perissodactyla; Equidae.
CGCUCAGCCGGCAGGGGGCACUGUGGCGUCGCCGUGGGUCCUGCCUGGGGAAACGCUUCUCCCCGCCUGCAUUUGCCCGGGAUCGCGCAGCUGAGCUUAUGGCCUGAGGAUAACUUGCAAUCCUAAGAUGGAUAACCUGCAAUACAAGAAGUCAGUGGUGUGCCUGGAAUAUGCCCAGAGUGCUGAGAGUACAGGCUGUAACAGGCCUGGGGUAGACUGAAUGUGCCUGAAGUCAUCAAAAUGACAGUCUCAUUCAUGAUCAACCUGGGGCUCAAAACAUGGAAUUAAUUAUGGGCCAAGAAGACCAAAUUCCUUUUGUACUUUUCAUUUGGAUGUGAAGUCCCUAGGCAAACAAAAUCCACUGCUAAUGUUGCCAAUAAGAGCCCACAUGAAAUAAUUGACCUGGUAAGGAAAUUAAAAGUGAUUAGGGACUACGAAGGUGGAAAGUCAGUGACAGGUAUGGCUCACCAGUCAGGCACGUCCCAUUCCACCACAGCUACUAUCUUGAAGAACAAGAGUAAAGUGAUGGAAGCUGUUAAAAGAUCUGCUUCAUUGAAGCCAACAAGACUAACAAAAAUUCAAGAAGG